AUCACAAGAACACCGCGACAGGACCUGCAGGAUGUCAGUGAUAGACCGACGUGAGGGUAGUGGAAACAGCAAUAUCCAUAUAAUAUUAAUUUUGAUAGUGAAAAUAGUAAUGUCUUUAAGUAAUGUGUGUGAAGUGGCUGCGCGGGCCUCAUAUUGUUGCUACUACUACUACUACUACUACUACUACUACUGGUGAUCCUGCAAUUACUCUUUCUCUUCCUCCUACUCCUCCUCCUCUUCCUCCUCCGACUGCAUCAAAGGGAGUGGAGCUUCUUAGUUUGUGGAAGGGUGAUCUGCUACGACAAGACAAUGAGGGUGAAGAGAAGAUGAUAAAGGAUAAUUUUGAAGGAGAGAGGGAAGGAAAUCAAGAAGCAGAGAUGAUAACAAAAGAUAAUGAUGAAGGAGAGGAGGAAGGAAAUCAAGAAGAGGAGGAAGAAACAGAACUUUACAGGGAAGCAGAGGAGAAACAAAGAAAUGAGGAAGAAGAAAGGAGAAGAAGAAGAAGAAGAAGAAACACAUAAUAAAAGUAAGAAAGAUUGAAUCAGAUGAAAAUGAAGAACAAGAACAAGAACAGGAAACACAAGAUAACAAUGGGAAGGAGGGGGAAUUAAGUGAACAUGAAGAAAAGGGAGAGAAAACAGAAAAACAUAUAAAGAUGAAAAAAAUGAGUGAAGAAAAAGAAAAGGAGGAGCCGAAGGAAGAAGAGAAGAAGGAGGAAGAAGUGGAGGGCAAUAAAAUGGAACAUGGAAAGAAGAAACAACGUGUAAUGAAGCAAAACAAGAAAAACAAUUGACGAUAACGAUGAAGACGAGAGAGAGAGAAGAAGAGAAAAGGAAAGGUGAGCAAAAGAAGAAAUGGUAAGCAAGGAGAAAAUGACAACAAUUCCGAAACAAGGAACCAAAACAAACAAGGAGAAGAGAAACAAGACCAAAAGAAGUACAAGACAGUUGCUGGUAGAGGAAAAUUAAGUAAUGAUGGUGAUGGUGAUGGUGAUGGUGAUGGUGGUGAGGGAAGCGAAGGAAACGAAAAAAGCAAAUUAGAAAGAGAAAUGCAUAGCGAACUAAUAAAUGAAGAAGGUGAAUAUAGCGAUGGGCAAGACAGUGAUAAGCAACUCGAUGUAUCAAUCCUCCUACCAACUGAACAAAUACAAUCUCCAGCUGAUGAACAUAAUACACGAGAAAGUGACAACCCUUUUGAUUUAAUUGUUAAGAACGUUAAGUGGAUGAUAUUGGCUGUCCCUUGUUUCGUCUUAAUUUUGGGCAUUAAGAUAGUGACUGGCCGACUGUUCGUAAAUGGAAGCCGCAGAACCACCACCGACACCAACACCAACAACGACAGUGCAAGAAACAACGGUGACUACAACGACCCUAGCACAUCUGCAGAAGAAAAUAACCCCAGCAGUUCCAAUAGUAGUAGCAGUGUUGCCAACUCCUUCUCCAUCAAAGACAUGACCGAUAACGUAUUUUUGUCGUUAACGUCUCAGAUAAUUCAAAUUGUCUUUCAUUACACUCUUACUAGACAAAAUUGUGGUGAUCUUGAGCCAUUCAUGCGUGUUUAAUUCUAAUUUUUGCCCAUAUCCUGAAACGCUGGCGCCGCACCUCCAUUACAGACGCUGAAAAGGUUCUAGUUCAGGUUUUUAAUGGUGUUUUUUACGGUCAUAGUGACAUAUCAACAAGAUUUCUAAGUUAUGGAGAGGAAAGCACUGUUGAGAACACGGCUCGUCAUCUCUUGUGGCCUUGGAAAAUAGUAGUGGUGGGAAAGCAAAGCGUUUCAGAAUACGGGGUUGUGUGAGAGGAGGGGGAGGGGCGUGGUUGCCUACUUGUGAUUGCAACGGGAUCCAGUCAAACUACAAUUUUUUUUUUUUUUUUUUUUUUUGUUGAAAUCCCAAUGUAUUUUUUU
Molecule: long non-coding RNA, 1899 nt
Organism: Scylla paramamosain (green mud crab)
Lineage: Eukaryota; Metazoa; Arthropoda; Malacostraca; Decapoda; Portunidae
Exons: 3
Source: RefSeq, a predicted model, not a curated record